This 89-nucleotide transfer RNA is filed under the name Chloroflexota bacterium. Its description in RNAcentral is "Chloroflexi bacterium tRNA-Ser". It matches the Rfam family "tRNA". Rfam says of the family: Transfer RNA (tRNA) molecules are approximately 80 nucleotides in length. Their secondary structure includes four short double-helical elements and three loops (D, anti-codon, and T loops). The record is from RNAcentral. Lineage: Bacteria; Bacillati; Chloroflexota. RNAcentral also lists the same sequence under 2 other names.
GGAGGGGUGCCAGAGUGGACGAUUGGGCACGCCUGGAGAGCGUGUGUACCCUUUGGGUACCGUGGGUUCGAAUCCCACCCCCUCCGCCA